UGGGGAAUAUUGGACAAUGGGCGGAAGCCUGAUCCAGCAACGCCGCGUGAGGGAUGACGGCCUUCGGGUUGUAAACCUCUUUCAGUACCGACGAAGCGAAAGUGACGGUAGGUACAGAAGAAGCACCGGCCAACUACGUGCCAGCAGCCGCGGUAAUACGUAGGGUGCGAGCGUUGUCCGGAAUUAUUGGGCGUAAAGGGCUCGUAGGCGGUUUGUCGCGUCGGGAGUGAAAACACUGGGCUUAACUCAGUGCUUGCUUCCGAUACGGGCAGACUAGAGGUAUGCAGGGGAGAACGGAAUUCCUGGUGUAGCGGUGAAAUGCGCAGAUAUCAGGAGGAACACCGGUGGCGAAGGCGGUUCUCUGGGCAUUACCUGACGCUGAGGAGCGAAAGUGUGGGAGCGAACAGGAUUAGAUACCCUGGUAGUCCACACCGUAAACGUUGGGCGCUAGGUGUGGGGUCCAUUCCACGGAUUCCGUGCCGCAGCUAACGCAUUAAGCGCCCGCCUGGGG
Molecule: ribosomal RNA, 511 nt
Filed under: uncultured Actinomycetes bacterium
Lineage: Bacteria; Bacillati; Actinomycetota; Actinomycetes
Description: bacterial SSU rRNA
Rfam family: Bacterial small subunit ribosomal RNA
Source: RNAcentral